This 60-nucleotide ribosomal RNA is filed under the name Sporobolomyces roseus. Its description in RNAcentral is "partial 5.8S ribosomal RNA". It matches the Rfam family "5.8S ribosomal RNA", at positions 96 to 154 of the family's 154-position model. From Rfam's summary of the family: 5.8S ribosomal RNA (5.8S rRNA) is a component of the large subunit of the eukaryotic ribosome. Lineage: Eukaryota; Fungi; Basidiomycota; Microbotryomycetes; Sporidiobolales; Sporidiobolaceae. The record is from RNAcentral.
AUCUUUGAAUGCAUCUUGCGCUCUCUGGUAUUCCGGAGAGCAUGUCUGCUUGAGUGUCAU